ACGGAGAAUAUGGGCGUGCAUGGUUUUGUGCACGGUUUUGUGGCUGGGGUUUGCCGAGUGCGAUGGUUUGUCGUCGCCGCCCUGGCUUGCUGGCGUGGAAGAGUCGUAUUGGAUUGUGUGGUGUGGUGCGUGCUGUUGGGUUCCCUGGCCGCCACCGGCCCCUGGUGUGGGGUGUGGUUGCCAGUGUGUCCCCCAGGGUCGGUUGCCCGGGUGCCUUGUUGGUGCG
Molecule: unclassified non-coding RNA, 226 nt
Filed under: Bifidobacterium animalis subsp. lactis
Lineage: Bacteria; Bacillati; Actinomycetota; Actinomycetes; Bifidobacteriales; Bifidobacteriaceae
Description: partial 16S-23S ribosomal RNA intergenic spacer
Source: RNAcentral